GAUGAACGCUGGCGGCGUGCUUAACACAUGCAAGUCGAACGGAAAGGCCCUGCUUUUGUGGGGUGCUCGAGUGGCGAACGGGUGAGUAACACGUGAGUAACCUGCCCUUGACUUUGGGAUAACUUCAGGAAACUGGGGCUAAUACCGGAUAGGAGCUCCUGCUGCAUGGUGGGGGUUGGAAAGUUUCGGCGGUUGGGGAUGGACUCGCGGCUUAUCAGCUUGUUGGUGGGGUAGUGGCUUACCAAGGCUUUGACGGGUAGCCGGCCUGAGAGGGUGACCGGCCACAUUGGGACUGAGAUACGGCCCAGACUCCUACGGGAGGCAGCAGUGGGGAAUAUUGCACAAUGGGCGGAAGCCUGAUGCAGCAACGCCGCGUGCGGGGUGACGGCCUUCGGGUUGUAAACCGCUUUCGCCUGUGACGAAGCGUGAGUGACGGUAAUGGGUAAAGAAGCACCGGCUAACUACGUGCCAGCAGCCGCGGUGAUACGUAGGGUGCGAGCGUUGUCCGGAUUUAUUGGGCGUAAAGGGCUCGUAGGUGGUUGAUCGCGUCGGAAGUGUAAUCUUGGGGCUUAACCCUGAGCGUGCUUUCGAUACGGGUUGACUUGAGGAAGGUAGGGGAGAAUGGAAUUCCUGGUGGAGCGGUGGAAUGCGCAGAUAUCAGGAGGAACACCAGUGGCGAAGGCGGUUCUCUGGGCCUUUCCUGACGCUGAGGAGCGAAAGCGUGGGGAGCGAACAGGCUUAGAUACCCUGGUAGUCCACGCUGUAAACGGUGGGUACUAGGUGUGGGGUCCAUUCCACGGGUUCCGUGCCGUAGCUAACGCUUUAAGUACCCCGCCUGGGGAGUACGGCCGCAAGGCUAAAACUCAAAGGAAUUGACGGGGCCCCGCACAAGCGGCGGAGCAUGCGGAUUAAUUCGAUGCAACGCGUAGAACCUUACCUGGGUUUGACAUGGAUCGGGAGUGCUCAGAGAUGGGUGUGCCUCUUUUGGGGUCGGUUCACAGGUGGUGCAUGCCUGUCGUCAGCUCGUGUCGUGAGAUGUUGGGUUAAGUCCCGCAACGAGCGCAACCCUUGUUCACUGUUGCCAGCACGUUAUGGUGGGGACUCAGUGGAGACCGCCGGGGUCAACUCGGAGGAAGGUGGGGAUGACGUCAAGUCAUCAUGCCCCUUAUGUCCAGGGCUUCACGCAUGCUACAAUGGCUGGUACAGAGAGUGGCGAGCCUGUGAGGGUGAGCGGAUCUCGGAAAGCCGGUCUCAGUUCGGAUUGGGGUCUGCAACUCGACCUCAUGAAGUCGGAGUCGCUAGUAAUCGCAGAUCAGCAACGCUGCGGUGAAUACGUUCCCGGGGCU
RNAcentral lists this ribosomal RNA (1346 nucleotides) under uncultured bacterium. RNAcentral describes it as "partial 16S ribosomal RNA". It matches the Rfam family "Bacterial small subunit ribosomal RNA", at positions 28 to 1381 of the family's 1533-position model. The record is from RNAcentral.